GUUCUGUUGUAAGGGAUUGAAAAUAGAAAGGUGGCCAGGGUGCUGUACGUGCUCUCCAAAAGAGCUUAGAAAUGAUAAAAACAAGAUGCCAGUGAGACAGAGCAGGCUCCACCCCAGGUGUGGGAAGGACUAACAGAAGCUGAGUCUCCAGGGAAGAGAAGGAAGUAUUUCCUUUUCAAUGUGAAUGAGGGACUCUAAAGGCCCUGAUCUCCUCCUGAGAACAAAAGGAAAUACUGUACAAAGAAGGAAACAUGUGAGCGAAUGCACCAAAUUUCUAAUGACCCCAUGAAGACACAUGUGACCAAGAUGGAGAAGAAGGAAGCCCAGGACAAAGCCAGCCUGGCAGUGGGAACCAAUCUCCCCAGGACUCAUCAAUGAACUUGGGGAUAGAAAACUGAACUGCAAAAUAGCUGAACAACUUUAUGGGCACAGACUUAGAAGGAAACGUGUUUAGUUCAGAGGCAGCCAGCAAAGAUGAGCCCUAGUGAAGCUGCGGGCUUUGGUCAAGACUCAGAGGAGUUACACUUCAAAAAUCAGGGGACAGGAAAUAACUCAGCUUCCUUAGGGAUUGGCCUGCUGUGAACAAUCUCACUAGCAGAACUGAUGCAGGGAUCCAGUACUACUGGCACCCCUACCCCUUUCCAGAAAUAAAUUUCUGUGGUUUCUGCAGCAAGAUCAUUGAUUUUUCCCCUACACAUUCUUGACCCAUGUGUGGUCCUGAACAAAAAUGACCUAAUUCCUGGAUGACAAGACAACGUGAUGGGACUGAAUCCCAAGCAGAUUCAGAUUAUCAAUGUUAUUAAUGCUGAUACCUUCCCUCUUCCACCCCAAAUACAUGACACAAUAUGUGACAAGCACUUAGGACAGAAAGGAAAAUGCGGGUGACAGAAAGCAAGAAAGCUCUUCUGAAAUACUACAUGGAGUUGGCUGUCUGCUGAAUUCAUACAGAGUUAUGGCACCUCAGGUGCCAUGAUUUUUUCCAGACUGCUACAAACAAAAUAAAAGCCACCGAAUGAGAAAAAGAAUAAAACACGGCUAGAGCUAAAGCACAAGCAACAACAGAAAUAACAGUUGAUGUUUAAAAAAAGAGCAAAAAGAGCUCUGCAGACCUCAGUUCUCCUGAUAAAUUCUAGCUCAUCAAAUCUAGGCAUGACCCGGUUUUGACACCAUUAACAUAUUUCCCCAUUCUAAAGUUUGAAAGGACGAUGAGAGGCCGAGGCCAGCCCUAAACUCUUGCCAGGAUAUUAGAAUAUCAUCAUGCUAUCAAAAAGCCACUUAGGAACCUCUGAGCUUCCCUGUCCCUUGUCACCCAGCCCCACAGGCGGGUAAGUGAAAAGGAAUAUGAACACACCAAAUACUCAAUAUUUGUGUUUCUGUGUGAAGGCAAGUUUUCUCCAGUGGCAGGGAGAGGGGCAAAUACUCAUUUAGAAAUAAAUUCCAAAGUACUCUGUUCUUCCAGAAAAGAUCUGCCCUCAAGAGGAACGAAGAGCCUAACUGGGGAUUUCCCAAAGAGUAAGCAAUACAGGUGAGGGAAAAUACUCAACUCCAGGGCUCUCACCUUCCUGUCUCACCUGGGAGUCAAUUCAGACUAACCCCUAGCCAGAUAAAUAUAAAAACCUCACACUCAUGUCCUAUUUACCUCAGUUCCUUUACCAGCACAUAACAUUUGCCUUUCAACACAACUUACAAGGCAUAGUAAAGUAAAAACCACACAGUUUGAACACAGAUAGCAAGCAUUAGAAUUACACUUCCUAUGGCAGAGAUGUAGGAAUUAUCAUCCUGGGAACUUAAAACCACUUCCAUUCCUAUGAUAAUGCAGAUGAUGAAAAAAGUGGACAACAUGUAAAAAGAGAUGGUGAAUGUAAGCAGACAGCUGAACCUCUAAGAUUUUAAAGUGAUUUGAGAAGCAGCGAAGGCAGUCCUGAGAGGAAAAUACAUUGCAAUCCAGGCCUAUCUCAGGAAACAAGAAAAAUCCCAAAACCA
Long non-coding RNA from Felis catus (domestic cat), 1983 nucleotides. RefSeq lists it as uncharacterized. NCBI's taxonomy places the organism in Eukaryota, Metazoa, Chordata, Mammalia, Carnivora, Felidae. The transcript is spliced from 2 exons. The record is from RefSeq and is a predicted model, not a curated record.